GACGAACGCUGGCGGCGCGCCUAACACAUGCAAGUCGAACGAUCGAGAGGAGUUUUACUUUCUCAUGCGAGUGGCGAACGGGUGAGUAACGCGUGAGGAACCUGCCUCAAAGAGGGGGACAACAGUUGGAAACGACUGCUAAUACCGCAUAAGCCCACUACCCGGCAUCGGGUAGAGGUAAAAGGAGUCAUACGCUUUGAGAUGGCCUCGCGUCCGAUUAUAUAGUUGGGGAGGUGAUGUCCCACCAAGGCGACGAUGGGUAGCCGGACUGAGAGGUUGAACGGCAACAUUGGGACUGAGAAACGGCCGAGAAUCUUACGGGAGGGAGGAGUGGGGGAUAUUGCACAAUGGGGGAAACGCUGAUGGAGCGACGCCGGGUGGAGGAAGAAGGUCUUCGGAUUGUAAACUCAUGUUGUUGAGGAAGAUAAUGAAGGUACUCAACAAGGAAGUGACGGCUAACUACGUG
RNAcentral lists this ribosomal RNA (466 nucleotides) under uncultured bacterium. Its description in RNAcentral is "partial 16S ribosomal RNA". It matches the Rfam family "Bacterial small subunit ribosomal RNA", at positions 28 to 507 of the family's 1533-position model. The record is from RNAcentral.